RNAcentral lists this ribosomal RNA (253 nucleotides) under uncultured bacterium. RNAcentral describes it as "partial 16S ribosomal RNA". It matches the Rfam family "Bacterial small subunit ribosomal RNA", at positions 524 to 776 of the family's 1533-position model. The record is from RNAcentral.
UACAGAGGGCGCGAGCGUUGUCCGGAAUCACUGGGCGUAAAGGGCGCGUAGGUGGCGGCGCAAGCGGGCGGUGAAAGCCCGGGGCUCAACCCCGGGUCGGCCGUGCGAACUGCGUCGCUCGAGCAUGGUAGAGGCGGGUGGAAUUCCGGGUGUAGCGGUGGAAUGCGUAGAGAUCCGGAAGAACACCGGUGGCGAAAGCGGCUUACUGGGUCUCUUCUGACGCUGAGGUACGAAAGCCAGGGGAGCGAAGGGG